AUCAACCCCCAUUUUUAGCUUCUCUAAAAUUGAUUCCUUGGUGUAGAUCAACUAUAUUGAAGUCCCUAAGUAGCGUGGAAGAGUUGUUUGAGUCAUCCAACCACUAGUUGUGCCCAAUUUCAAACCCUAACUAUUGAAGGAAGUGAAUAACAAAGACCUUGGGCAGCCCGAAUCAUAGGUUGGGCUUAGCUUGAGUUGGAUCAUAUUGGAGAGCGUUUGAGGUACAGACGCACAGCCUGGUGAUCCACCUGUUUAGGACACCCUUUCUGCUAUUCGGAGUGCUCCUCUCUUUCCGGAGCUUAUACUUUUGGUAUAUAUAUUUAUUAGUGCAUUUGUAUAUAUUCGUUCAUGGGUACGGCGGGGCCCUGUCCCGUCAUACGAUUCUGUCGGUCUGUUUAGAGGUCUGUGGACAUGUUUGUGGGUUAGGGUCUUUCUGUAUGGAUGUAUGUACAUGUCCUUUGGGUGAUCCCAUACGCCGAGGCGGCCGGUCCGCAUAUGUUGUUUGGGCGAUCCUAUACGCCGAGGCGGCCGGUCCGCAUAUGUUUAUAUAUUGCUUGGUUAGCCCUGUGUGGCUUUUGUUGGUAUU
This is a long non-coding RNA of Lycium barbarum (goji berry), 586 nucleotides long. RefSeq lists it as uncharacterized. The transcript is spliced from 3 exons. Lineage: Eukaryota; Viridiplantae; Streptophyta; Magnoliopsida; Solanales; Solanaceae. The record is from RefSeq and is a predicted model, not a curated record.